Long non-coding RNA from Orcinus orca (killer whale), 673 nucleotides. RefSeq lists it as uncharacterized. The record is from RefSeq and is a predicted model, not a curated record. Lineage: Eukaryota; Metazoa; Chordata; Mammalia; Artiodactyla; Delphinidae. The transcript is spliced from 4 exons.
AUGAAUGGAAAACAUUAAGAUGAAGCCCGUAUCCUGCUGCGCAAAAUUGGCAUGGUUCAAUAGGUUUAUCAUUUCUGUGACCACAGUGAUCCAAUAUCACUGUGCCAGUGACCCAAUACACUAUGCCAAUCACCACAGUGAUCCACCCCUUUUCAUUUUCAACCCUGAAAAAGCCCACUCUGACCUGGAGUCCAGAGGAUUAUUUUUAGAAGGUACUCCCCUAAUUACAGGGCAGCACUACUACAUUUUAUUGGGACCGCCAAAACCAUCCAAAAGGCACUAAAACUCCAAGAAGAAAACUUAGAUUCUUUCUCUGUCCCUUGAAGAUGUAAAUCUUAAAAUGUCUUUGAACUAUAAACACCCCAGGAGAUUACUUGUCAAGGACAAAUACAAAUCUUAAAAGUCUUCUCCACAAAUAUUAGUAAGAAGCUUUAGCCAUUGGAGCAGGUGCUGUGUGACUUCCAGGUGCUGGGCUGCUGAGAACCAAGGACGUUGAUUAAAGACAUUCAGGAGAAUUGGAUGAAGGUUUAUAGGAACAUUGUGACCAGGAUUUGGACAGCUGCAAGAACUAGGGAUCCCUGAACCAAGGAGUGUGCAACAACCAGCCACACCUCCUCCCCCUUUUAGUACAAAAGAAGCCUGAAUUCAAAUUCAGGUAAGAUGGUUCUUUGGG